GGAAGAUCUGCUGAGAACUGCUACUACUUUGCAGCCUCCAGGCAGAACACAGAAUAACUCCCUGUCUUUCCUGCCAUGGGCCAUUUGUUUUAUCCACAUGAAAUAAAAGAGACCCUUCAGCUGGGUGGAGGUGGCUGAGAAGGAAGGAAAACAACACAGACACAAUCUCUGGAGCUGCUGGCCUCACUCUCCACUAGCUUCUCUGUUUCAGCCAGACUGUAAAGUGUAUGCAGAUAGACUACAUCAUUGCACCAGAGAAAUGGAUCCAAUCUGUGCAAAGAAUGGCCACACUUACAGCAAUACAUGUCAUUUCUGCAGUGCAAAGUUAGAAAGUGAACAAGUUAUUGAAUUUCAUCGUUAUGGUAGCUGCUGACUUUUUAACCUUAUUUUUACAAAUUCUUAUGGCUUUUAUGUAAUCCUAUUUUAUGGUGGAUUCUACAACCAGCUAGUGUCUUCUCAGUCAGGGCCUUAAAUUCCUAGAUGACCAGGUAAAUCCUUCUAUAGCAUAUGAGAUGGAAUAUAAGAUGUUGAAGAUUCUUUCUGAUGCUAAGAACCUGUUAUUAAAAUAUUUUUUAUUCUCUGCAUUCAAUCACUCAAUGACAGUUUGAAAAACCAUUAUCUUGAUUGUGUAUUUGAUAAUACAAAACCUGAUGUAAUUUACAAUUAUAAAUAUUUCACUCGGUGAAAUGUUAAAUGAUGUUAUCUUUAUUAAAAUGUCUUUUCUUUCUUUGA
Lemur catta (Ring-tailed lemur) is the source of this 732-nucleotide long non-coding RNA. RefSeq lists it as uncharacterized. The record is from RefSeq and is a predicted model, not a curated record. NCBI's taxonomy places the organism in Eukaryota, Metazoa, Chordata, Mammalia, Primates, Lemuridae. The transcript is spliced from 3 exons.